This 74-nucleotide transfer RNA is filed under the name Candidatus Arsenophonus lipoptenae. RNAcentral's name for it is "Arsenophonus symbiont of Lipoptena fortisetosa tRNA". It matches the Rfam family "tRNA". From Rfam's summary of the family: Transfer RNA (tRNA) molecules are approximately 80 nucleotides in length. Their secondary structure includes four short double-helical elements and three loops (D, anti-codon, and T loops). Lineage: Bacteria; Pseudomonadati; Pseudomonadota; Gammaproteobacteria; Enterobacterales; Morganellaceae. The record is from Rfam by way of RNAcentral.
GGCUAUGUAGCUCAGUUGGUCAGAGCACAGCACUCAUAAUGCUGGAGUCACGGGUUCGAUCCCCGUCGUAGCCA